Molecule: ribosomal RNA, 323 nt
Filed under: Salmonella enterica subsp. enterica serovar Typhimurium
Lineage: Bacteria; Pseudomonadati; Pseudomonadota; Gammaproteobacteria; Enterobacterales; Enterobacteriaceae
Description: bacterial SSU rRNA
Rfam family: Bacterial small subunit ribosomal RNA
Source: RNAcentral
GAGUGGCGGACGGGUGAGUAAUGUCUGGGAAACUGCCUGAUGGAGGGGGAUAACUACUGGAAACGGUGGCUAAUACCGCAUAACGUCGCAAGACCAAAGAGGGGGACCUUCGGGCCUCUUGCCAUCAGAUGUGCCCAGAUGGGAUUAGCUUGUUGGUGAGGUAACGGCUCACCAAGGCGACGAUCCCUAGCUGGUCUGAGAGGAUGACCAGCCACACUGGAACUGAGACACGGUCCAGACUCCUACGGGAGGCAGCAGUGGGGAAUAUUGCACAAUGGGCGCAAGCCUGAUGCAGCCAUGCCGCGUGUAUGAAGAAGGCCUUC